ACCCGUGCCCGACCCAAUCUCCUCCGCCGCCGCAAGCCACCUCUACUUAUGCACGCGCCUGGCCUCGUCAUCUGUCCAGCCUCGCCUCAAUGGCGUACAAGCGGAUCUUCGAGGAGCCUGCACAGGAUUCAUCCCCCAUCUUCAUCACCUGAAUCUUUCACUACAUGAAGAAAUUGGCCCCAAAUAGACGCAUCUGACGCAUGGCGCGCAGCAGACCUUGAGCCCGCACCCCGGUCCUCCUCCGACCGCUGCGGUUAAGCGCCCUUAUGUUGCGACAAGGACGGCGGACGAUCCGAACUCCUGCCCAGCUUCCCGCAAACACGAACAACACAGCGCCGCGGCAACGACGGCCAUCACCAACGGCCGGUCAGCGGCAUGGCAACGCCCUCCUGGCUCUUUCCGCGCGCCGCCGCCGGAGGGAACCCACGCGUCGUCCCCUCCCCUGCCCCUCCGCAUGCAUGCCCGUCCCGAGGUGUUUCGUUUGGAGGCGAUUGGGGAAGAGCGUGGAGGAUGGUGGUAGGGGAUGAGGAGUGCAGGCGGAAGAUGAGUUGCUCCUUGAUCUGGAUUCACCGGUUCCUCCUCUUUUCCGGCAGCAAUCGAUGGGGGAGGCGCUGGACGGGAGCAACAUCGGCGAGGUCCUUCCGCCGAGUUCUUUGACGGUAUCUAACGACGACACCAACAUGUAGUGCCUUGAGAGGGAGACAGUAUCUUCCAACGACGGAGUAUUUAAUCAAUUCUUCAGUGUUUAUUGCAUUCACAACUCUGGAGCAUUGCGUCGGUAUAAUUGAGUUGCUGAGGAUGCAAGUUUCAGCGGCCACAUCCAUCCAGUUUUUUAUGAUGGUAAUCGCAUCCGUAGAUGGCGCCUUCCAGCUAUGUGCAUCCUUUCUUCGAAUGUGCCGUACAAAAGAGAUAUUCUCUAUGAGCUUGAUCUUUGCAACAGAAGACCCAUGAGUUUGUGUACCUUUCAUCUCAACUUUGCCUUCUUGGUUCUAACAGU
Molecule: long non-coding RNA, 997 nt
Organism: Lolium perenne
Lineage: Eukaryota; Viridiplantae; Streptophyta; Magnoliopsida; Poales; Poaceae
Source: RefSeq, a predicted model, not a curated record